AACUUUUAACAAUGGAUCACUGCGCCCGACCAACUUCGCCAGCGCGUGGCGUUCGCUCUCGCGGAGAUGUUCGUCAUCUCCACCAACUCGGUCAACUCGCGCGCCGUCGUCGCCUUUCAGAACACACUCGUCAACGACGCCUUCGGUAACUUUGCAACCAUCAUGAAGGAUGUCACCCUCUCUCCCGGCAUGGGUGCCUACCUCAACAUGCUCAACAGCGACAAGCCGAGAACGGUCAAUGGAGUCCCCCAGGUCGCGAACGAGAACUACGCCCGCGAACUCAUGCAGCUUUUCACCAUGGGCCUCUACCUGCUCAAUCCCGACGGCACACUUAAGCAUAUCAAUAAGCGGAGGCU
Molecule: unclassified non-coding RNA, 356 nt
Filed under: uncultured Ascomycota
Lineage: Eukaryota; Fungi; Ascomycota
Description: sequence contains ITS2
Source: RNAcentral